AGAGUGGUCACCUAUUCUCAACUCCAUGACCUAAGACAAGUUACAAGCCAUUAUUCCAGGAGUACCAGAGAAGACCCCCUUUUUCUCCCCUUUGAUUGAAAGAUGAAUUUAGCAAAUUGGGUUUAAUCCCUGAUGCCUUCACAGGAAUGGUCCCAACCUAGCUGUUUGGGAUCACCACAGAAGCUCAUAAAACAGGCUCCUAGACCUUCCUCCUCAUUCAUAAGCUCAGAAUCCUAGAAGAGGGGUUAUGGGGAGGCAAAAAUCUGUAUUUUUUCAAGGCCUCACAUAACCUGAUUAGCAGAUCAAUAUGUAAGAGCCACAGUUCUAUAUCACUGUGGGUUUCUAUCUUUGUUAGCAACAUGGUCUCAGGGCAUCUGGGUUAACGAAGAGGUCGAACUCUUGAACUUGCAGAUGCCUUUGUAUUCUCUUUCCCCUUUGCCAGUUUGAAAAGUCACUUCCAAAGACGAUUAGAGAGGAAGGAUCCUUUGCCCCUUCUUUACAACCUAGGUUGUAAAAUCCCCAUAAAGCUGGUUCUGGCUGUUCUUGGGGAUCCGAGACCACCUCAUUUCCACAUCCUGAAGACAUUGUUUGAACUGAAAAGCUCAGACAUAAAUUAACAUAAAUGUUUUCUUCCAUGAUUCCUUUUCAAACUUGUUUUCUCUUAGAUGGUGCACCCAGUUAAUGAGAAAUUUUGGUUUUUAAGGGAAAUACGAAAUUGAAGUAAGUACAUCCCAGUGUGACUUAGUAUAGGUGAAAUGGAAUCAAAAGUGGUAUUCUUUGAGGACCUGAAGGGACAUUCUAAUUGGAGACUACCCCUAAAUCACAAAACUUAACAUUUGUUUUAAAUUUGGGAGAUUGGCAUAGAGUUUUUUUUGGUAUACUGGUUUCAUUCCUGGAUCUUAACACUUUGGAUCUCAGCAGUCGAUCCUGAGCCCAGGCUUCCCCGGUGAAUCAGAGCAGUGGGACUGACCGUGGAACACGCCGUGUACUGGUCAGUCUCUCUCCUUACAAGUUUGCUUCCAGAUGCCGCAAGCCAACGCGGGGCUCUGCCACUACAAUGUGAUUUAUGUGGGUGCUUUUUUCUGUGGCAUUUAUCACAUUGUAAUAAGCUAGAUCGCACAUCCCGAAGAGCAUUUUAUGUUGAACUAUUGGCAACAUGAAUGUUUAAGCUGGGGAAUCUGUCAUUGUUUACCACUGAGAGGGCUUGGCUGCCUUGGAGCAGCCAGAGUACUUUCGUGAGCCUUCUUGGGGAAGAGGCAGCCAGGCACCCAGACCUCUUUUCUGUUUGUUAGCCG
RNAcentral lists this long non-coding RNA (1295 nucleotides) under Homo sapiens (human). RNAcentral's name for it is "HSALNT0036234". Lineage: Eukaryota; Metazoa; Chordata; Mammalia; Primates; Hominidae. The record is from RNAcentral.